Molecule: long non-coding RNA, 2064 nt
Filed under: Mus musculus (house mouse)
Lineage: Eukaryota; Metazoa; Chordata; Mammalia; Rodentia; Muridae
Description: long non-coding RNA chr4:109323911-109325975
Source: RNAcentral
GUCCACCUCUAUAACAUUUAUGUGUAUUUUUGAACAAGCUGUCAUUUGUCUUUUGCAAUUCAGCUGAUUGUUUUUAAAAAGUUACAGUCAUAUUUUUCUUCUGGAGUUUUGGGGUUGAUAACUAACACUAUUGUACUGUUUUGUUUAUUUGUAUAGGUCACUAUGUGACACAAAGGGCUGUGGGAAGCUUUCAAAAGACCAGUUUGCCUUGGCUUUUCACUUAAUCAAUCAGAAGUUAAUAAAAGGCAUUGACCCUCCUCAUAGUCUCACUCCUGAGAUGAUUCCACCAUCAGACAGAUCCAGUUUACAAAAGGUAAGAUAACAUCAAAGAAGACCUGCAUGCCCUAGAAAAGGACAAGUUCCGUGUUGGGUCACAGAGUUGGAGGGACAGAGCACUCAGAGUUGGUAGUUAGUGUGUGUCUGUGAACAUGCACAUAGACCUUCUCUGUACAUCCUUGAGCGGUAGCUUGUCAACUUCUCUAUUCAUUAUUCAUGACAGCUGCACUUUACUGUAUUAAAUUGAAGAGAUUUCUAAAGAAAAUUUUGAAACAGGGUCUCAAGAUAGCCCAGACUUACAUUGAACACUAUUUAACUGAAAAUUCCCUUGAACUUGUGCCCCUUCCUGCUUUCACUUCUGGAAGAUCAUAGGCAUGUGCCUUGCCUAGUCAACUUUUAUGAAUAGAGUUGAAAUGGUAGCUGUAGGAAUUAAAUUGUUAAAUUUUACUUGAUGAUUCGCUUUUACAGAAGACAGUACAAAUUUGGAAACAAAAUCUAGGAGAUAGUAAUUGAUUAGUAUCAAUUUUACAUCAAAAUAGCCUUCAGGAAAAACUGUAUGUUGAGGAUACAUCUGUAUGUGGCUUUUGCCAAAGGAUGACUCUUCAUUCUUAAGUACACAGCUGAAUUUCAUAUCUAAACAGCUGGAAGUUAGUUGGGUUUCUGAUUAGCAGUGGGAAUUUUCAGAACAUAUUCAUUUUAUUCACAAUUCCCUUUCAAUUUUUUCUUUCUUAUCUAGACCCCCUUUUUAAUAUAGCACAUUUACAAUAUCCUGGUUUAUAAUAGACCUUUCAAAGGACUUAUAUAUGAUGGGUUUAGUUGCUUUCAAAAUUAAAUAACCAAGUGUUGUUUGAACCUGUAGUCUUAGCUCCUGGGAAGGCUGACACUAAAGAAUUCUUGAAUCCAGAAGUUCAAGGCUAUCCUGGGCAGCACAAGGAAGCUGCAUCUCCAAAAAAAAAAAAAAAAACCAAACAAAAUAAAGCAUUCCACCCAAACUUUGUAUCUUUAAUCCUCUUCUCACCAGUAUAUAAGUAUUUCUAUAGCGAUUUUUCAAGGUCGUAUAUAACAGGAACUAUCAAAUUGUGCUAUUAAGUAUUCUCUCUCAAAUAUUAAUAAAAUGUUUUGAUUUUUCAUUAAUAACAGUUAAAAAUUUCAUUUUAACCUAGCAAAAGUCAAAAUUGGAUUUUAUUCCCAUGUAAAACUAAAUAGAAUUCACUACUUCCAAGUCCCGAGAAUUGGAUAUAUAAAAAGAAUUUGUACUUUUGAGUUUUCAGAUGGGUCACUUUGUGAACUUUUGCAGCCUCUUGAUGUAUGACAUGGGUUCUUUAGGUUGUGGAGAGGCUGAAAGGAAGUCGUCACAGAAAGAUGAAGGGUCCGUAUUUUCACUUAUACGUUCUGCUCUGUUCCUGUUGCUCAGCUGUGCAACAUUGUAGCCUGCACUUAUGAAGUUUCUCCUCUGUGUUCUUAAUUUAUAAUGACUGAAAUGCUUAUCAACUCUAGUCUCCCAGAGAACAGAACUUUGUCAAUUUUUUUCUAUUCUUUGAAAUCUGUUUGCUAGUAGACACUUGAGAUUGUUUCUGUUACCCAGUUUAUAAUUUAGUAGAUUUCUCAGAAGUCUACUCAAUAGAGGAUACCUUGUCUCUUGGUUCCAGAUUUAUGGAAAUACUUUAUAACUGUUGGUCUUGGUAUUAUAUAACCGUUGUCUUAUCUAUUAACCAAAUAAAAUAAAAUAAAAUAAAAUUUGUACUUACUUUCAAAUAAUCUCUUUUCUUCUUACAAUCUGAUUUAUUU